Meleagris gallopavo (turkey) is the source of this 1246-nucleotide non-coding RNA. The record is from RefSeq and is a predicted model, not a curated record. NCBI's taxonomy places the organism in Eukaryota, Metazoa, Chordata, Aves, Galliformes, Phasianidae.
GCACUACUUUUCCCAAUUUCCAAACCCUCCUGGGGAACUUCAAAGAAAAUCAGGCUUUCCAGAAUUGCAAAUGUCUGCCCAGUGGCCUGAUGAAAAACAUCUUUUGGGUGAUAAAAUGAGUUGCAUGCAAAUGACAAGUAGGCUUGAUGUGCCCUGAAAACAUUCAGCUUGGAGUGACCUGUGAUCAUAAAUUACUGGCAUGCUGCAUCAGAUCCUAGACUUGUAAUUUCAUCAAGAUCAACAAGAUGCAAUCUUGAAAACUGUUUGUAUGACGUGAGGACAAAUUGAUGCCCUUGUCCUUCCAGACUGUUGGAUCUGAUGCUCAGGAGUCUGACUACUUUGUGUCUCUAAGUAGCAGCAUAGGGUCAUUGUAAAUAAUUAAGUAGAAAUUUGUUACCCUUUUGUCAAAUGUAUUUCUGAUGUUUCUCUUCCGUAGCCUCCAUUAAGAAAUCCCUUGAUUAAAUUUUAAAGUCUUAAACAAUUUGAAGGGCUGAGAGCACAGGACACAAACUACAGGCUGAAUAUUUUGCACGGGAAAGUCAUAUUCUCUUUGGGAGCAAAGAAAAUAAUGUCAGGUAUUUAAUAUGCAAUCCCAUGAUUCUCUUUCAAGACAUGAUGUUACAGAUUUGAUUACCAGCUCAGUGGCUGGUACUUGUUGGUUUUUUUUUUCCUCUUCUGUUUGCCUUUAGAGAUCCAGAAUUUUAUCUCUCAAUAUAUUUACAAAUGUUUGUGUAUAAUGUAUAGCUCAAAAUUUAAUCCUAUGCAUUUACACAGAAUAAUUUGUAUAAAGGUGGAACCUUCAGAAUAAAAAAUCGCCAUUCAUAACUUAAAAGCUACAAUUUAAGGAUAAAACUGUCAUGAGUUUUCUGAAAUGUAUAAAAUGGCUUAAGAAGGAGACAUGAUAUUUUACAUAUAAAUGAAAGUUGAAAAAUGAAUUAAUUAUCUUGAUUUUUAGAUCCAGCUAAAUAAUUUUUAUCAUUCUUUUUAUCAUAAGACUCUCUAAAAUGUAUGCAUUUAUAAAACAUUCAUUAUUAUGCAUGUCUUGAAGCAGACAUACAAUAUUUAUUGUGGCAAAAGUCAUUUACUGCACGUUGAAUAUGAACACAAUCUGUAUACAAGGAAGGAAAAAAAAAAUCAACAACAAAAAACAUUAUCAAGGAGGAGCAUAUAUUCCCCUAGUAGAGAGCUUAAUUCUGGACCAGAGGAUGUAUCAUUAUUGUUGACCUAUUAAUGCUAGUAAACUAUU